GUGUCAGCAGCCGCGGUAAAACCAGCUCUUCAAGUGGUCGGGAUGAUUAUUGGGCUUAAAGUGUCCGUAGCCGGUUUAGUAAGUUCCUGGUAAAAUCGGGUAGCUUAACUAUCUGUAUGCUAGGAAUACUACUAUGCUAGAGGGCGGGAGAGGUCUGAGGUACUACAGGGGUAGGGGUGAAAUCUUAUAAUCCUUGCAGGACCACCAGUGGCGAAGGCGUCAGACUGGAACGCGCCUGACGGUGAGGGACGAAAGCCAGGGGAGCGAACCGGAUUAGAUACCCGGGUAGUCCUGGCCGUAAACGAUGCACACUAGGUGAUGGCACGGCCAUGAGCCGUGUCAGUGCCGUAGGGAAACCGUUAAGUGUGCCGCCUGGGAAGUACGGUCGCAAGGCUGAAACUUAAAUGAAUUGACGGGG
RNAcentral lists this ribosomal RNA (418 nucleotides) under uncultured prokaryote. Its description in RNAcentral is "bacterial SSU rRNA". It matches the Rfam family "Archaeal small subunit ribosomal RNA", at positions 455 to 873 of the family's 1478-position model. The record is from RNAcentral.